RNAcentral lists this small RNA (6123 nucleotides) under Acyrthosiphon pisum (pea aphid). Its description in RNAcentral is "uncharacterized LOC103310255, transcript variant X3". Lineage: Eukaryota; Metazoa; Arthropoda; Insecta; Hemiptera; Aphididae. The record is from RNAcentral.
GCUCCAUCUCCCUGCGCACCCCCCCCCCCCCCAAUUCGAGCACUGUACCUACCUGUUUCAUUGUUUUUACACACUACAAUGAUUUUAAUAAAUUGAAUGUUCACUUAAUAACAACUCAUCUCAGUCAAAUUAUUAAUGAGGAACUAUUUUUUACUUAAUUAAUGUCUCAUUUUAAUGUAAUCAUUUAUUAAAAAAAAAUAAAAACACUUAGAGAUUAAUAUUGCUGGAAUGUUGAUUUGGUUAAAUAAAUAAUAAUAAUAUAGUAAAAUUGUUCUUGACUAUUUUAAUAGAAAAUAUCAUAGAUUUUUAAAUAUUUCAUUAAUGCUUGUAAAAUUUAAACUUUUAAUAGUGUGUAAAUUGUCAUUCUUUAUGACGGAAAAAGUUUCCAGGUUUCAGCACAGGUAUUUUUCUUAUGAGAUGACUACAUGCUCUGAUAUUUUAAACAAUAUAAAUAUGACCUAGGCCUACACACAAUAACGAAAGGAAUGUACAACAAUAUAUAAUUAUGCUGAAGUGGUUAGAUCUGUUAGUCGAUAUUAUAAUAACAGUGCCAAACAGAAAUAUUUUGGUGAAGAUGCAUUUAAUUGUACCCAAUGUGGGCGUACAUACCGUCGAAAGAAAAAUAUAUUUGGAUUCAGAAUAAUGGAAAAUUGUAUAACUGCCCCAACAAGAACUGUCACCGCAAUUAUAAAACUAAACCAGGCUUAUACAACCAUUUAAAAUAUGAAUGCAAUGUACCGCCAAAAUACCAUUGCAAUAUUUGUAACAAAAAAUUUAAGCAACCAGGAAACUUUAAAAUCCACAUGAAAUCACUUCAUUUUGUAACAUUAAUUAAAAUUUAAAGAUUUAAUACAUUUUUAUUGAAAAGUGCACAUAAAUCCAUGUGAUACUAUAUUUUCUUGGGAGAACACACUGAUGUUUUCCGAGCCAGCUAUUUACACACAACAUAGGAAAUUAACAUUCUGCAUACAAUAUAUUUUUUUGGUUUUUAAUAUUUAAAUAAAUUUACAUUUUCAAAUGUAAAGUUAAGAAUAUUUUCAAAGAUUUAUUACUAUAAUUUUUCUAUAUUAUAAAAUAUUAUUCUUAAUAAGCGAUUGUAUUUUUACAACAAAAAUGUGUAGAAAAUCCAAGAUAGUAGCCAUUUAAAAAUUGUAUGGUUGUUACUUGUUUAUGUAGGUAUACCCUUAGAUUAAAAAUGUCAAAAUAUUGAUUAUUCAGAGUAUAAAUUUCCUGUGUAUGUGAGAGAUAACUUAAGAGUAUAUCUAUCUUUGUAUUAUAGUAUAAUGUAUUUAUUAAUAAAUUAUUACCAUGAUAUUUUCUACAUUGUAAAUAUUAACUUGGUACUCUAUAUUUAUUUUGUAUGGAUAAACUAUGAUUAUUUUAUAUCUAUUUGAUUUUAAAUUUAUGCUUAAAUAUUAACUGUUUUUACUUAUCUAAAGGUACUAUAUAUUGUAAUCAUCAUUUGAACUUGUUAUUGUAUUUUAGUUGUGUAAUUUAAAAUGAUCAAAUUGUGAAAUUGAUAUGUUCUUACUUUACUGCUUAGUAAGAGUAAUCUUGCUGUAAUUGUAAAGAUAUCUUGUAGAAUUAACUCAAUAUUGUCUUACUGUUGUAUUUUGUUCUAAUUUCUUAGUUUUGUAAUUGUUUAAAUAUAUAUCUGUUCUGUUUAAAUUAAAAAUUGAAUUACCUUUAUAAUAUAUUACCCAAAUGUUAAUCAGAUAUAAGAAAUAAUAAUAACUAAUCACGUUAAUGUAAGAUUCUUCAAACUUAUUUAGCAUAAUUUAUUUUAAGCUUUUUUUUGUAAAGAAAGCAAUUUUUUUAUAAUUUUUAACUUAGAAUAGUUUAAGAAUAUGCUUUUUAAACUGUAUUCCUUCAUUUUGGCACUUAAUUAAAUUAUAACAGUGCAUGGUUUACUCUUAGAUUAUUUUUCACAUUAACUUACUAACAAUAUAUUGAUAUUUUGCAGCUAUGCCAUUAUUAUUCAACCCAAAAUCUGGUAGAAUGAACAAAUAUCCUGGUCCAUCUUCAGAUGGUCUUUUUUAUUGUACAAACCAAUGUGGUAAGAAGUAUAAAUCUAAACAAGCUAUCAGUGUACAUAUGCGUUAUGAGUGUGGUGUAAAACCCAAGUUUUACUGUCAAGAAUGUAACAAAUAUUUUAAACAACCUGUCAGCUUCAAAGCACAUCAAAUGAAUGUCCACAAUCUGAUAGUUUGAGGAUUGAACUUGAAAGUUGUAUCUUUUAUCCACUAUUCAAGAUGAAGUAAUUUUAUUCGUAUAUUUUAUUGCUGUUGUUUAUUCAAUUUACCACGGUAUUCGUGUAAGAAAUGUGGUAAUUCAUAUAAAUAUAAAGCAAACCUCCGUAGACAUGAAAUAUAUGAAUGUGGUAUUGAGAAAAUGUUCAUUUGUACAAUUUGUGAACGUAGAUUUCAUCAAAAAUCUAAUCUAAAUAGGCACUAUAGUUUAUUACACAAUUUAUGAGUUCAAUAUAAUAAAUGUAAUUAAAUACUACAUAAUAUGUAUAAAAAUGUAUAUUGCCAUGUUUGUUACUGUUUUUAUUAUAUAUUUAUAUAAUUUUAUGAUAUCUUUAUCAGGAGAUAAUAAAAUAGCCCUUGUCCAAACUCAGAAAGUUAUUACUGCUACUUAUUUUUUAUGUACGUUUAAGAGAAAUCUGCAUUAAAAGAGUGAAAAUAGUUGCUGUCUAUACUAUUAUAUUAUAUGAUACAAUUUAAAGGUCCUAUUUUUAUUUACAAAAACUAUUUAUUUUUAAUAAGAAAUAAUAUAUUCAGAUUUUCCUAGAUAAAAACCAUGUCAAACAAAUCAAAUUCUAUAUUUACCCACCAUUACCCCAUUCCCAUGUUCUUAUUUACUUAAGAAUUGAGAAACGCCGCAAUAUAUAAAGAAAAAUCAACUGUGUACAGCUUAAUAUUAUAAUUGUAUAAGAAUGUGAGGUAAAGACCACAGAAAGAAAAAAAUAUCUUAUGUGUGAGUAUAACUUGGUCAUUUAUUUGUGACUGUGUGUCAGUGUGAUCACAUUUAUAUAUAUAUAAUUUGAAAUACUAUGGGACAAAUCAAAACUGAAAUCUCUCUAAGAUCCUUUAAUAUCUUACAUUGUAGAAUAAUGAGUGAAUUAACAAUUAUAUUUUGUAUGUUACUAGUAUAUGUUGCUACUUACCUAAGUAUUUAUUUUGUUCCUGUUGUACAAAUUAUGUUAAACAGUGCAUUUUCUUAUUGAAUGAACUGUUAAUCUUAAUGUUUCUUUUACCCUUAUGUGUUAUUUAGUUAAUAAAAAUAAUUUGCGUCUUAAAUUCAUUGUUAUUAUUUAUUUAUAUUGUUGUUUCAAAUGGGCGGAGCAACAAAAAAUAUGUAACGAUCAAUCAAAUAUAAUAUAGAUCAACUUAGGAAAUGAUUUGACAGAAAAUAAAUUACAGAGUUUUGUUAAGUAAAAGAUUAAAACAUAAAUUAAUUCUAUACCCAAUUAAAUCAGGGAUUGGCAACCCUUGUCCAGCAGACUGCAUGUGGCCCUCCUAAGUCAUAGUAAUUUUAUGUUUCCUGCGAUUAAAAUGUAUAAUUUAUAUAAAAAUCAAGAACUUAGAUAGUAUCGAUUGAAAUCUGCAUCUGCGGAAUAAAACUUUUUAGAUACCUUGUUAAAUCAAUAAACCUAAUAGUUGAAUGAACUUAAGUUGAUGAACUUAAAUAAACUAAAUUUAAUAUGAUUAUACAUUUUUGUUCUAAAUAAAAUAAGGUAUAUUCAAAUUGUGGCCCGUGUAAAAUUGUGUCUUUUUUUUAGCCCUUGACAUUGAAAAUGUUGCUGGACCUCUGCAUUAAACAAUCUCAUUUAGUUAAAAAAAAUAUAUAAUUAUUAACAAGUCACAUAACUCUAAUCAAAGAAGUAUUUUGAACAUAUCUAUAGAUUGGUAUAGCACAUAAACCAUUUAAUUUUACCCCCGGGAGCUAAAAAGUUUAUUUACCUAAUUAAUCUGGGCAAAAUACAGGGGGCGGCAGUUAAAUCCGACGAUUUUUCACCAAACAAAUAAAAAUUACACAAGCAAAAUUUUAUGUUAUAUAUUUAAAAACUUCCUUUUUAAAGAUUGUGACAGGCAAAUGCCUUCCUUGGUUAGCCACACAUUACUACUACAUACAUCAUUACUUUUGUAAUACGCUUUUACCACGAAUGCAUGCUGUUUACUCGACCAAUACUCCAUGAUUACUAAAUUCCAGGUAUUUAAAUGCUAAGAACAUUCCCGAAAUCUACCACUUUAGCCACGCUCACCAGUUCAUUUUAAAUUGUCAAGUUUGACCGCCGCACCCUGUAAUUUAAUACUAUAAAUGAAACAAAUGGUUAGCCUUUUCCUUUUUGCAUCUAAAGAUUUGAGUUUUAAAUAUAAUAAAAUAAGCUGGAGUGAUCGAUAAAUAUAAAAUGAAUGACAAAUCAGCCUUAGAAAUUGAUUCAAUAAACUUGAAUCAGACCAAUAGAAGACUGUGACCGAUCAACUAAAUUAUAACCAAACAAAAAAAAAAUAUAAAGAUUUUAGUGAUUGUGAAUUACUAAAACCAUACAGCAUUAAUUAUUAAUAAAUUUGAUUCAUUAAAUCUAACAUUGGAGAUGCAUUGUUUAGAAAUAUCCAAGCAUAAUUUAUUUGCAUCAGUUAUUAAAAUUAUAGAGAACAUUUUGAAACAGUUCCUCGUGUAUCAAUUUAAAAAUCUAAAAUAUUUUACUAUUAUAAGCAAAGAUUAACACAUUUGAAUUGCUGAAUUUAAUAUUGUUGUAUUUUAUAUAUUAAGUAAUAGUGGAGCUAGAUGGAAACCUUGAGGUACUCUAAUACUUACAUUUUAUAGCGUAUUUAUUAUACAAUCGAUAAUUAGUUAGUGUUAUUUUUUUUUGUCCUAACAAUUUUCAAAAAACUCAAAAUUGGUAUGAUGGUUUGAAGAGUACGUUUUUUACUUUGAAUUCCUAAAAAAUUAUAUUAUUAUUUUAGAUGUUCAAAAAUAAACGUAACACAUUAAAAAAUUUGUCCACCACAACUAAAUUUAAGUAUACUACCCUUUGAAUAUACUACCCAAUUUCCACUACAAACUAUCCUAUUCAAUAACAAUUUAAUAUAAGAACUGAAAUUUAAAUUAACAAAACAUUGUUUUUAUUUAGCCAUUAUUGUAUUUCUAUCAAAUAUUACGUUAGAAUCUUGGAUAGUACAAUUUUUCAUAUACGUUUUUUGACAUUUAUUUAGAUGAUGAUUAAUAACUAGUUAUGUUAUUUUAAAAUAGUGAUUACUAACUAUGCAUGUUUGUAAAAAAUACUUUAAAAUUAUUAUGGUUUUUUUAGUUGGUAUUAAACAUUUAUUUAAUAUUUAUUUAAAAAUAUCCUUUUUUGUUUCAGUUAUAAAAUGGUUAGGAUGCUUGGACCAUUUAGCGAAACCUGACCCAGCAAAAUGCCCUAACAAUAAUUGUCAACGGAAAUUUGGCGGGUAUACUAGAAAGUAUAAUUUAAAAAAUCAUCUUCUUAACGAAUGCGGAAUUAUUAUAAAAUGUCAACUCUGCUCUAAACGGUUUGGGCAUCUUAAAAGCCUUCGUUACCACAUGGGAGUAGCACAUGCAACUAUUUUAUAGGUAGUUUCAAAGUUUAUGAAACAAAUUUGAAUUUAUGUUUGAAUACCUAUAAAAAGUCUAAUAAUUGUAUCUAUUCAAAAUCAUGUUUUACUAUGCAUAUUAUAUAAGUUUUUAUUUGUAUUUAAUACUUAACUUGAGUACAUUUUAUGUCAUGUAUUAUGACUAGUAUUUACCUUUGUAUAUUUAUAUAAUUUAUAUUCUAGUUGUAUUUGAAAUAAAUUAAAUGAUUUAAAUAUAACUACAACUAUGUACAGACUAAAAAUAGAAACUGUGAAGCUACUAGCCAAACAUAAAACAAAUAUAGUGGACAUCUAAUUCCAAGUAUCAAUUUCACCUCAACUCUUUUUUGUAACAUACUUAGUUUCUGGACAGCCCUUUACCGUUUUUUUAAUAGUUACUAGUAUUUUGAUCUCUUACUAUUACAAUUUCUAAUUAAAUUAAGUUGGUUAUGAAGGGUUCAAUCAAUAGACCUUUAUGAUUUUUAUUAUAUUAUUGUUUUUGUAAAUAUAUUUUAACCUGUUU